AAAGUCGUAACAAGGUUUCCGUAGGUGAACCUGCGGAAGGAUCAUUACAGUGCCUGUAGGGCGCCGGGGAACCCCCCCGGCGUCCUGCGCUCUGGCCACCCGUGUCUACCUUACUGUUUGUUGCUUUGGCGGGCCCGUCCCCCGGGACCGCCGGGGGUGCACCCCUUUGUGCCCCCUGGCCCGCGUCCGCCAAGGGACCCUCUGAACUCGUGUGAAAUAGUGUCGUCUGAGUUAAUGUGAAUGACAAAAAACUUUCAACAACGGAUCUCUUGGUUCCA
This 278-nucleotide unclassified non-coding RNA is filed under the name Ascomycota sp. RNAcentral describes it as "partial contains small subunit ribosomal RNA, internal transcribed spacer 1, and 5.8S ribosomal RNA". The stretch from base 1 to 47 matches the Rfam family "Eukaryotic small subunit ribosomal RNA", at positions 1785 to 1831 of the family's 1831-position model. Lineage: Eukaryota; Fungi; Ascomycota. The record is from RNAcentral.